This is a long non-coding RNA of Corapipo altera (White-ruffed manakin), 444 nucleotides long. RefSeq lists it as uncharacterized. Lineage: Eukaryota; Metazoa; Chordata; Aves; Passeriformes; Pipridae. The transcript is spliced from 3 exons. The record is from RefSeq and is a predicted model, not a curated record.
AGUGUGCUCACUUCUGGGCUUUUCCCAGGGCCCUUUGCACUGUGGUGGAGCUGAAGAACCUCACAGAUGAGACAGAGCCUUUUCCAGCUGUGCAACAAAACAUUUGUGAAUAUCCAGGAAUGAGGAUCCAUCCAGGAACGAGGAUCCUUAGAGAUGGCAUUGACAUGUACCAGGCUUACUUGAAAACCCUUGUAUUAUCUGCAGGAAGGAGAAAAGGAAGGUUCCUCCUGAGGGAACAGGAGACAGCAGGGCUCCUCAGGGACCUGUGCUUAGGGUGAGUGUCUGGAGAAUGUGGGCAGGAGUCUCAUCCCAGUGCCCUCCGUGCCUGGAGCUAAGCUAGAGGAGUUCAAACCUAUGUCCCAUGUGGGGCUGUGCUGACCACCCUGUUACAGGUACGGAGGGACAAAGGGAGGAGGCGUGUGCCUGUUUCAAAGGAACACAACA